UAUAAGAGAUUUUGAGUUUUUUUUUACAACGUUUGACCACUCGUCUUAUUCAAAGUUUUUUGAAAUUAUUAUUUAUUUUUUUUACUUACUUUAUUAUCUACGGUAACUUAAGUAUAACUUUUCGUUUUUUAUAUUUGCAAAAAAAAUUUGAAUAAGACGAGUGGUCAAACGUUGCAAUCAAAAACUCA
RNAcentral lists this microRNA precursor (188 nucleotides) under Oryza glumipatula. RNAcentral describes it as "MIR812 microRNA precursor family". It matches the Rfam family "MIR812 microRNA precursor family". Lineage: Eukaryota; Viridiplantae; Streptophyta; Magnoliopsida; Poales; Poaceae. The record is from Rfam by way of RNAcentral.